UUUCAUUUUCUUCCUUUUUUUAGGGCUGCAUUCGAGGCAUAUGGAAUUCCCAUGAGAAAAGCGCCCUCUCUGUACUGCGAAAACAAGAAUAUCUUUAUCACCAUAGAUUUGGAACAGACACUGCAAUGGUUCUGUACAAAACAAACUUACUAAAAUAAUCCUGUCUUCCACCAGUUCCCCCUCCAAUAUUCUCUCCUAGUCAUUCCCCCACAAUGUACUGCCCCUGGCCCAAACCCCCAAACCCCUUUGUCAUCACUUCUUCAUAAAUUGAUCAUUUCUUUGUCUAAAAGGCAUAAAAGUUUCUGCUCUGUUCUUCAUUAUCUUGUGAAAGCUUCAUGCACAUGUAAAAAUGUAAUAAAACUUGUUUGCUUUUCUCCUGUUAGUUCAUCUUAUGUCAGUUUAAUUAAUUCUUAGGUCCAGCUAGAGAACCCAGGAGGAUCAAGAAUUUUUCCUCCCCUACCACUCAAACUAAGUCACACACAUGCCAGGUUCUUAGGGCUGUGCCUGAAGCUCAGGAUCAAACCAAGUGUAAUGUGGGAGUAAAAAUAGCUCCCGUUCCCUGAAGGUUGGCCCUCCUGAGCUCCAGCCCCAUAUACCUGACAGCACACUGCUCUUUAGUUCAACCUGCAAAAGCCAUCUCCCCAUCUGCCCCACACACACCUGGGAAUAGCGCCAUCUCCCACUCAUUCUCGCAAGCCAGAAACCUGGACAUCACCCUCAGUUUUCCCCUUUCCCUCCCCUGCCCUCUACCACUUCCAGCCGUUCACCAGGACCUGCCCAUCUGACCUCCUAAAUCUUCCCUGGGAUCAAUCACUUCUCUCCCAUCCCCACAACCACAGAGCCAAGCAAGACCCCCACCAUCUCUGGCCUCGAACCACUGGUGUAGCCUCCUAACUAUUGUCUCCUGUUCCCCUAACCGCCAACUCCCCCCACCCCCAAUACCACAGCCAGAGAAACCAGUCUUGGGAACUGCAAAUCAUAACAGCAACAAUGAACACUCAGUGAAUGCUGACUUUGUGCUAGGCACUGCUCUGACCUUAUGCCUCCCCCACUUAAAAUCCUCCACUUUCUGUGGCACUCAGGACAAAAGCCCCCACCUCUUUGCUUAGGCCUCGAAGGCCCUGCAUGAGCUGGGCCACGGCUCUUUCUCUAUUUCCCCUGCUGGAUGGAAUUCUAAAGGGUCUCUUUCUGAACAAUUGUGUGCCUCAGUUUUCUGCUUUUAUUUCUGUGUGGAGAACUGAUGUCAAAGAUAAACACAGCCAGACAUUGGCUAAAGCAAUGAAAACAGAUUUUAUUCAGUAACUGAUAGUGAUGGAGGAGACACAGGUAGUUUUAGAAGUCCCAGUAAAGGAUCUAGAUAGAGAGGGGAAUCUGGGGGACUAUGGGAGAUCACUGUAAGUAAAUAAACUGCUCAAAAAAGCCAUCAGAACAAGGCAGCUUUGCUUCAUUAGUGGAGCCUAGAGAAUCACCUCAGGUCUUUGUGGUGGGGAUGGAAUGAGGCCUGCAUUCAGAGUCAGACCACGGGCAGGAGUUUGAGGACCACCCUUCUGCUGAUUUGAAUACACAACUUGCCUGAUACUAAGGAGGAGCUACUGCUCCCAGAAAGGAAGAGGGGGGCUUUUCCAACCCCCACUCCCCUUGGAGGAUAAAACUGUAGCCCACCGGAUCCUCUGGGCAGAGCUUCCGUGCCUGCCCCCUUGCUUCUCUCACAAGCAUCCUAUCCUAACAAAUCCAUUUCUUGCCUGUCGCUUUGUCUCUCGCUGAAUUCCUUCUGCGCAGAGUCAUGAAGAACCUGAACCUCAGUGAGUCCAGACACAGGGUGAGUGAUUCUAACUUA
Molecule: long non-coding RNA, 1837 nt
Filed under: Sus scrofa (pig)
Lineage: Eukaryota; Metazoa; Chordata; Mammalia; Artiodactyla; Suidae
Description: lncRNA (ENSSSCG00040049732.1, ENSSSCG00185016025.1)
Source: RNAcentral